This 343-nucleotide long non-coding RNA is filed under the name Coturnix japonica (Japanese quail). Its description in RNAcentral is "lncRNA (ENSCJPG00005016230.1)". Lineage: Eukaryota; Metazoa; Chordata; Aves; Galliformes; Phasianidae. The record is from RNAcentral.
GAAGGAGUACCAUCUUCAUUGUUUCAGAGAAAGGAUGCUUGAUUCCUAUUUCUUUAUCUUUUAAUUAACAGGAGAACCAGUGAAGAAAUUUCAAUAAAGAGUUACUCCAUUUCUUCCUAAGUACUAUUGAUUAUCCUGGAAUAAACCUACAGAAAUUUGAGAGCAGCGUCAGGAUUAUUAAACAGAAUAGGACUUUUGGAUGUCAGGGAAGGAGUGGGCUAAGACAUCAACAUAAGAAAGGUGACCCAGGGAGGACAUCAAGGAAAUCUGAACCAGAUGCAUUGCUUUGAACAUAGGCCCAUAGAAGAUCCAGUCAAAACGUUUCAGCUGUUAUUAUACAUGU